UUAAAAGAAAUUUUCUCUGACUUUGAUGCUAAAUACAGAGGAGCCUUUUGUGAAGCCAAGAUCAAGACAGCAAAAAGGCUUGUCAAAGUCAAGGUAACAUUUAGACAUGAUUCUUCAACGGUGGAAGUUCAGGAUGACCACAUAAAGGGCCCAUUAAAGGUUGGAGCUAUUGUGGAAGUGAAGAAUCUUGAUGGUGCAUAUCAGGAAGCUGUUAUCAAUAAAUUAACAGAUGCGAGUUGGUACACUGUAGUUUUUGAUGAUGGAGAUGAGAAGACACUGAGACGAUCUUCACUGUGCCUAAAGGGAGAGAGGCAUUUUGCUGAAAGUGAAACAUUAGACCAGCUCCCACUCACCAACCCUGAACAUUUUGGCACUCCAGUCAUAGGAAAGAAAACAAAUAGAGGAAGAAGAUCUAAUCAUAUACCAGAGGAAGAGUCUUCUUCAUCCUCCAGUGAUGAAGAUGAGGAUGAUAGGAAACAGAUUGAUGAGCUACUAGGAAAAGUUGUGUGUGUAGAUUAUGUUAGUUUGGAUAAAAAGAAAACACUAUGGUUUCCUGCAUUGGUGGUUUGUCCUGAUUGUAGUGAUGAAAUUGCUGUGAAAAAAGAUAAUAUUCUUGUUCGAUCUUUCAAAGAUGGCAAAUUUACUUCAGUGCCAAGAAAGGAUGUCCAUGAAAUUACUAGUGACACUGCACCAAAGCCUGAUGCUGUAUUAAAACAAGCCUUUGACCAGGCACUUGAAUUUCACAAAAGUAGAACUAUUCCUGCUAACUGGAAGACUGAAUUGAAAGAAGAUAGCUCUAGCAGUGAAGCAGAGGAAGAGGAGGAGGAGGAAGAUGAUGAGAAAGAAAAGGAGGACAAUAGCAGUGAAGAAGAGGAAGAAAUAGAACCAUUUCCAGAAGAAAGGGAGAAUUUUCUUCAGCAGUUGUACAAAUUUAUGGAGGAUAGAGGAACACCAAUUAACAAACGACCUGUGCUUGGAUAUCGAAAUUUGAAUCUCUUUAAGUUAUUCAGACUUGUACACAAACUUGGAGGAUUUGAUAAUAUUGAAAGUGGAGCUGUUUGGAAGCAAGUCUACCAAGAUCUUGGCAUUCCUGUCUUAAAUUCAGCUGCAGGAUACAAUGUUAAGUGUGCUUAUAAAAAAUACUUAUAUGGUUUUGAGGAGUACUGUAGAUCGGCCAAUAUUGAAUUUCAGAUGGCAUUGCCAGAGAAAGUUGUUAACAAACCAUGUAAGGAGUGUGAAAAUGUAAAAGAAAUAAAAGUUAAGGAAGAAAAUGAACCAGAGAUCAAAGAAAUAAAGAUUGAAGAGGAAGAGAAGAUAGUACCAAAAGAAGAAAAGCCUGCUGAAGAUGACAUUGAAAGAAAGGAAAAUAUUAAACCCUCUCUGGUAAAUCAGAUAUAUUGUUUGCCUUCUUUGGUACAUUUUCUACAUCCUCUGUAAAGUUUUCAUAAUUCAUUUUUGUAUAAUUUUAUACUUUAUUAUUUGUGCAUUUUCUUCAGUAAGUACUGUUUUUGUGUUUAAAAUAGCUGUUCGCUAUUUUUGCCUAGUGUAGGAAUGGUAGGAGUUUCUUAACUAAUUACUUACUCAAUAUUAGUUUAGUUAGUACCUCUUUUUGCUAAUAAUUAGAUCAUGGAAUUAGGUUGACAUUUUUCACUUUUGUUGGUUUAGUUCCUCUGAUCUUUUUCUAGGGAAGUAAAAAGAAUUUAUUAGAAUCUAUACCUACACAAACUGAUCAGGAAAAAGAAGUGAACAUGAAAAAAACAGAAGAAAAUGAAAAUCUGGAAGAUAAAGAUGAUGUGACAACUGGGGUAGAUGAAUCCCUCAGCAUAAAGGUAGAAGCUGAAGAAGAAAAAGCAAAAUCUGGAGAUGAAACGAAUAAAGAGGAAGAUGAAGAUGAUGAAGAACCAGAAGAGGAGGAGGAGGAGGAGGAAGAAGAGGAUGAAGAUGAUGAUGACGCCAAUGAGGAAGAGGAGUUUGAAUGCUAUCCGCCAGGCAUGAAAGUCCAAGUGCGGUAUGGACGAGGGAAAAAUCAAAAAAUGUAUGAAGCUAGUAUUAAAGAUUCUGAUGUCGAAGGUGGAGAGGUCCUUUACUUGGUGCAUUACUGCGGAUGGAAUGUGAGAAAGGAAAACGAGGCCUAGUUCAACAAGAUAUGCUUGUGUCACUGAGAAGGAUGCCAUCUACUCCUGACAACUCAAGCAUUUGGUAUGAACAUUGAAAAGAAGAAAACUUACCAUCUUGGUGAAGACCUAUAGGGUGGAUCUCUCCAGCAUCAUAGAGAAAACAACUGUACUUCCUUCAGUAGAUUAAGCAGUUAAUUUUCUUAUAGUCAACAUAACAGCAU
Long non-coding RNA from Rhinolophus ferrumequinum (greater horseshoe bat), 2338 nucleotides. The record is from Ensembl. Lineage: Eukaryota; Metazoa; Chordata; Mammalia; Chiroptera; Rhinolophidae.